Molecule: ribosomal RNA, 404 nt
Filed under: Sphingomonas sp. R0L7
Lineage: Bacteria; Pseudomonadati; Pseudomonadota; Alphaproteobacteria; Sphingomonadales; Sphingomonadaceae
Description: bacterial SSU rRNA
Rfam family: Bacterial small subunit ribosomal RNA
Source: RNAcentral
AGUCGAACGAGACCUUCGGGUCUAGUGGCGCACGGGUGCGUAACGCGUGGGAAUCUGCCCCUGGGUUCGGAAUAACAGUUAGAAAUGACUGCUAAUACCGGAUGAUGACGCCAAAGAGAUUUGGAGUCCAAAGAUUUAUCGCCCAGGGAUGAGCCCGCGUAAGAUUAGCUAGUUGGUGGGGUAAAGGCCUACCAAGGCUACGAUCUUUAGCUGGUCUGAGAGGAUGAUCAGCCACACUGGGACUGAGACACGGCCCAGACUCCUACGGGAGGCAGCAGUAGGGAAUAUUGGACAAUGGGCGAAAGCCUGAUCCAGCAAUGCCGCGUGAGUGAUGAAGGCCUUAGGGUUGUAAAGCUCUUUUACCCGAGAUGAUAAUGACAGUAUCGGGAGAAUAAGCUCCGGCU